Molecule: ribosomal RNA, 253 nt
Filed under: uncultured bacterium
Lineage: Bacteria
Description: partial 16S ribosomal RNA
Rfam family: Bacterial small subunit ribosomal RNA
Source: RNAcentral
GACGUAGGGCGCAAGCGUUGUCCGGAUUUAUUGGGCGUAAAGAGCUCGUAGGCGGCCUGUCGCGUCGACCGUGAAAACCCGCAGCUCAACUGCGGGCUUGCGGUCGAUACGGGCAGGCUGGAGUUCGGUAGGGGAGACUGGAAUUCCUGGUGUAGCGGUGAAAUGCGCAGAUAUCAGGAGGAACACCGGUGGCGAAGGCGGGACUCUGGGCCGAUACUGACGCUGAGGAGCGAAAGCGUGGGGAGCAAACAGG